GAUGCUGUCAAGGUGGUCAUGGCUGGAAAGCCAAGAAGUGUCAGGUAAAAUAUGAAGGGAAGGCUUUCUUCAAUAGAUAAUGCAAUUUAAAAAUAAAUACGCAGUGUUGCAAGGCAAAUAAAAUGCAAAUAUAGGUAAUUGAUCACUUUUUCUUUACUGUAUUGCAUGUGGACUAGGAUGUUGAAACCCAAAGAAACAAUUUAAGUAGUGAACUGUGUGCAACAAAGGAAAUUUUGACAUAGCUUGCAAGAGAAAUUAACGAACAAGAAAGAGAACA
Molecule: unclassified non-coding RNA, 277 nt
Filed under: Hevea brasiliensis (rubber tree)
Lineage: Eukaryota; Viridiplantae; Streptophyta; Magnoliopsida; Malpighiales; Euphorbiaceae
Source: RNAcentral